ACGACCUUACUUGAACAGGAUCUGUUCUAUAGGCUCGUACCGCUGCAUCCUUUACCAAUAAGGAGGCAAGCACUUCAGUCUGGUUGAUGAACUUUAAUCUCUGGGCCAGAGCGUGAUUAACGGCCAGGAUUCCUCUGAUGGAGGCUAUCGGUCGGCUGUAGAGGAUCGUUCCUGCCUGGCCAUGCUUGGUGCAGGGUGGCCCAGAGGUUGUCUGACAGACU
Non-coding RNA from Triticum aestivum (bread wheat), 221 nucleotides. The record is from Rfam. Lineage: Eukaryota; Viridiplantae; Streptophyta; Magnoliopsida; Poales; Poaceae.